Roridomyces roridus is the source of this 101-nucleotide non-coding RNA. NCBI's taxonomy places the organism in Eukaryota, Fungi, Basidiomycota, Agaricomycetes, Agaricales, Mycenaceae. The record is from the annotation of a GenBank genome assembly.
UGCCUCGUGGCCCAGUUGGUUAAGGCGUGUGACUGUUAUGUAAGCAUGGUCAUUCCUGUUUAGUCAUCACGAGAUCGUGGGUUCGAGUCCCCCCGAGGCAG